Molecule: RNA transcript, 2705 nt
Organism: Triplophysa rosa
Lineage: Eukaryota; Metazoa; Chordata; Actinopteri; Cypriniformes; Nemacheilidae
Gene: vit
Gene name: vitrin
Exons: 18
Source: RefSeq, a predicted model, not a curated record
UCCGCCAUCCUUAUGAUGCUGUUCUUCUUCUUCGAUAGAAUUGUAAAAUACAGGAGAAUCCCGGGAAAAACGGGAAGAUUGACAGCAAUUCUGCUGAGCUGUAGUGAAGCGAAGCCAAAUGGAAAGAACAAAAAGCAAAAACAAGUUGUUCCUGCCUUAGAGUGUGACGUACGGGCCGGGAGGAUCAAUUUGCCUGAGUUUAUUGUUAAGUGUCCCGCAAACUGCAGAGAGACCAAAGAGAGGGUGUACGGGACAGCAGUGUUUGCUUCUAUAUCCAGUAUCUGCAAUGCAGCCAUUCACAGUGGGGUCAUCACGAACUCAGGAGGAAAGGUCAUUGUGAAGAAGAUGGCAGGACAGGCCAUCUACAAAGGCAGCUUCUCCAAUGGUGUCCGAUCUCUGUCCUUACCCAACUGGAGAGAGUCGUUUUCAGUCUCAGUGGGUAAACCAAAGAAAGGAGUGAUCUAUCCAUCCACUCUGGACUACACCGCCUCACGACCAACAGCUGUGAAAACAGAUGUUUCCAAAGCAGCACCAGAGUCCACACCGUGGCCCGUAGUAGCUGCAGAACUCAGCUUUACUACAACAUCCUCAGCUCCACCCACAACCACAACAGUGGCAUUUCCCAGCACCACCACUGUCUUGCUCAUCACCACAACAGCCAAGCCACGAGUCACAGUGCAUAAAGUUCGAGAGGCAGGCACCAGUCAUCCGUAUUUCAGCUCUGUAGCACGUGUGCAGAGAUCAGAAACCAGCAGCACCGUCCGCAGACAGCCACAGGUUCCCUCAGGUUCAGCUUAUAGUCGUGUUCAGUUGUCGAAGCACACAGCACAGUCUAAUCCAGCAUUUGCAAGAAGAGAUUGGCCACACCCUGCAAACACGGACUGGUUCUCUGGCAGCAGGAGACCAACAGAUAGUAGUCACUCUCUGUCAAGCGCUGGCUAUAAAUGGGGCAGGGGGAGCACUGUAGAUUCUACAGCGCAUGAGCCAGGGCCUGACAACACAGAACACAAGCACUGGUUGCAUAACUUUGGACAGUACUCCCCUGAAUCAGAUGAGCACAAGCUUCUGUCUGAGACAAGCCACACCAGAGAGGCACCAACUGAAUCAUGGGAGCCUGAUUCAAACCCGUUGGAGUCAGGCAUCAGUGUUCGAGGGCAGGAACCAGCAGCCAGAGCGCCCGAGAUCAUGACUCAAGGAGAUCCAACCUGUAAAGUGGAUGUGGCAUUCCUCAUGGAUGGCAGCUGGAGCAUUGGCAAGCGGCGCUUUAAGAUUCAGAAAGAUUUUCUGGUGGAGGUCUCUCAGGUCAUGAAUGGGGGUAUAGCUGGACCCAUGAUGGGCAUCAUUCAGUAUGGGUAAUAACGUGCUUUUCUUUCUUUGGUAUUCAUGAUUUUGAGUGCAUUUGAUGAAGGUAUUGUCACCUAUAUAACAUUUAACAUGAUAUUAUUACAAUCACGUACUGUUAAAUGUGUGUGUUGCUUUGAAACGAUUUUGAAGAUUUGAGUCUCAUGCUUCGUGUUGAGCUCUUUGUCCUCUGCUCUGCACACAUCAAUGCAGAAACAGACACUGGCCUUUUCUUCUGCUGUUUCCUCUCAAGGUAAACUCUCCGGUUGCUAUGUUCAUGAGAAUAGAUUUUGGAUUUUGAUUGCAGACUUGACAAAUCUGAGCUCAGUUUGUGAUCUUUUCUGAAACUCAGAUGUUAUGAGAUGUCUGGUUCUUUUUCUCAGGAGAAAUAUCUGAGAUACAGAUAAGUCUUAGAGGUGUCAUAAGAUUUGCUUUCACUUUUACAACUUCAAGGGAUAGUCCACCCAAAAACAACCAUACUCACCAUCAAGUUGCAGUUUCAAACGGUUGAACACAAAGAUAUUUGGAAAAAUGUUAGAAACUGACAGUUCUGAGGCACCAUUGACUACCAUAGUAGGAAACACCUUCUACUUGGGGCACCUUACAUUUAAUUUUUUUCUACUAUGGUAGUCAAUAGGGUUGUGAUGAGACACUUCUCACGAGACACGACUAGAUUUUUUGACUAUUUUAAAGAAAUCCUCAACGAUGGAAUAUAUAGGGAAAAUUUGUAUUUUAUUCACCUUAAAAUGCAAAAAAUGCAGUCAUUAUAAAAUCAACUUGUACUUUAUGAAACACAUUAAACUUAUUAAACAAUAUGUAAACACUGCAAAAUGUUUUGUCACAAACUCAAAUGACAGACAGUAAUUGCACAAAAUUUAUGCUUUGUUUUCUCAACAGUCGUAGCUUUUAUAAAGAGCUGUGGUUGUUUUCUCUAUAUGCUUUUGCACAGUGCUGUGGACUGUAUCACGAAGCGAGGUGAACAAACACUGAGUUGAACAGUAACUUUUGAGUUGACAAAACUAGACAAACCCAACCUGGUUUAGAUCAAUUUCAGCUGUAGCACGACGCUUGGUAUAAACUUUCUCUGUCAACUCAGGUUUGAUCAGAGUUCGUGAGGCACGUGCACCCUGAAAGUGUGACAUGCGGCAAACAGCCAAUCACACGGAACAUGGAAAGCAUCAUCAGUUUGAUUGACUUCUCGUUUACAAUAAGAUCUUGUCAGGAAACGAGGUGGAAGAACCCAAGUGCAGGCAACGGCAGGGACGAUGCAGUGACAGAAUUCAGUCUGAAACAGUUUUCCAACUCCAAAGACUUGAAACCAGCCAUCAGUAAAAUAGUCCAGAAGGGUGGCCUUUCUAACGUGG